Molecule: ribosomal RNA, 625 nt
Filed under: uncultured bacterium
Lineage: Bacteria
Description: bacterial SSU rRNA
Rfam family: Bacterial small subunit ribosomal RNA
Source: RNAcentral
AACGCUGGCGGCAGGCUUAACACAUGCAAGUCGAGCGGGGAAAGGUAGCUUGCUACCUGACCUAGCGGCGGACGGGUGAGUAAUGCUUAGGAAUUUGCCUAUUAGUGGGGGACAACAUUCCGAAAGGAAUGCUAAUACCGCAUACGCCCUACGGGGGAAAGCAGGGGAUCUUCGGACCUUGCGCUAAUAGAUGAGCCUAAGUCAGAUUAGCUAGUUGGGGGGGUAAAGGCCUACCAAGGCGACGAUCUGUAGCGGGUCUGAGAGGAUGAUCCGCCACACUGGGACUGAGACACGGCCCACACUCCUACGGGAGGCAGCAGUGGGGAAUAUUGGACAAUGGGCGAAAGCCUGAUCCAGCCAUGCCGCGUGUGUGAAGAAGGCCUUUUGGUUGUAAAGCACUUUAAGCGAGGAGGAGGCUACUUAUAUUAAUACUCUAGGAUAGUGGACGUUACUCGCGGAAUAAGCACCGGCUAACUCUGUGCCAGCAGCCGCGGUAAUACAGAGGGUGCGAGCGUUAAUCGUAUUUACUGGGCGUAAAGCGUGCGUAGGCGGCUUUUUAAGUCGGAUGUGAAAUCCCUGAGCUUAACUUAGGAAUUGUAUUCGAUACUGGGAAGCUAGAGUAUGG